Molecule: ribosomal RNA, 559 nt
Filed under: Enterococcus faecalis
Lineage: Bacteria; Bacillati; Bacillota; Bacilli; Lactobacillales; Enterococcaceae
Description: bacterial SSU rRNA
Rfam family: Bacterial small subunit ribosomal RNA
Source: RNAcentral
UACACAUGCAGUCGAACGCUGUGCUAUCCAUCCCGAGUGCUUGCACUCAAUUGAAAAGAGGACGGGCGGACGGGGGAGUAACACGUGGGUAACCUACCCAUCAGAGGGGGAUAACACUUGGAAACAGGUGCUAAUACCGCAUAACAGUUUAUGCCGCAUGGCAUAAGAGUGAAAGGCGCUUUCGGGUGUCGCUGAUGGAUGGACCCGCGGUGCAUUAGCUAGUUGGUGAGGUAACGGCUCACCAAGGCCACGAUGCAUAGCCGACCUGAGAGGGUGAUCGGCCACACUGGGACUGAGACACGGCCCAGACUCCUACGGGAGGCAGCAGUAGGGAAUCUUCGGCAAUGGACGAAAGUCUGACCGAGCAACGCCGCGUGAGUGAAGAAGGUUUUCGGAUCGUAAAACUCUGUUGUUAGAGAAGAACAAGGACGUUAGUAACUGAACGUCCCCUGACGGUAUCUAACCAGAAAGCCACGGCUAACUACGUGCCAGCAGCCGCGGUAAUACGUAGGUGGCAAGCGUUGUCCGGAUUUAUUGGGCGUAAAGCGAGCGCAGGCGG